AACGAACGCUGGCGGCAUGCCUAAUACAUGCAAGUCGAACGAUCACUUCGGUGAUAGUGGCGCACGGGUGCGUAACGCGUGGAAUCUGCCCUUGGGUUCGGAAUAACAGCUGGAAACGGCUGCUAAUACCGGAUGAUGACGUAAGUCCAAAGAUUUAUCGCCCAGGGAUGAGCCCGCGUAGGAUUAGGUAGUUGGUGGGGUAAAGGCCUACCAAGCCUACGAUCCUUAGCUGGUCUGAGAGGAUGAUCAGCCACACUGGGACUGAGACACGGCCCAGACUCCUACGGGAGGCAGCAGUAGGGAAUAUUGGACAAUGGGGGCAACCCUGAUCCAGCAAUGCCGCGUGAGUGAUGAAGGCCUUAGGGUUGUAAAGCUCUUCUACCCGGGAUGAUAGUGACAGUACCGGGAGAAUAAGCCCCGGCUAACUCCGUGCCAGCAGCCGCGGUAA
RNAcentral lists this ribosomal RNA (448 nucleotides) under uncultured bacterium. RNAcentral's name for it is "partial 16S ribosomal RNA". It matches the Rfam family "Bacterial small subunit ribosomal RNA", at positions 29 to 523 of the family's 1533-position model. The record is from RNAcentral.